This 255-nucleotide ribosomal RNA is filed under the name uncultured bacterium. Its description in RNAcentral is "partial 16S ribosomal RNA". It matches the Rfam family "Bacterial small subunit ribosomal RNA", at positions 524 to 776 of the family's 1533-position model. The record is from RNAcentral.
UACGUAGGUGACAAGCGUUGUCCGGAUUUACUGGGCGUAAAGAGCGCGCAGGCGGUCGUUCAAGUCGAGUGUGAAAGCCCCCGGCUCAACUGGGGAGGGUCAUUCGAUACUGAUCGACUCGAAGGCAGGAGAGGGAAGUGGAAUUCCCGGUGUAGUGGUGAAAUGCGUAGGAUAUUGGGAGGAACACCGGUGGCGAAGGCGGUUUCUCUGGGCCUUACCCUGACGCUGAGGAGCGAAAGCGUGGGAGCGAACAGG